AGUCCCCAGGGACACAGGUCACCCCCGCGUACACAGAGUCCCUGGGACACAGGGGAGUCUGGGGCUACAGGUCACCCCCACGUACACACAGUCCCGGGGACACAGGGGAGCCUGGGGCUACAGGUCACCCCCACGUACACACAGUCCCGGGGACACAGGUCACCCCCACGUACACACAGUCCCGGGGACACAGGUCACCCCCACGUACACUCAGUCCCGGGGACAGAGGUCACCCCCACGUACACUCAGUCCCGGGGACACAGGGACACAGUAGAAGCCUGCUCCCCGGGCAGGGCUAGCG
Orcinus orca (killer whale) is the source of this 301-nucleotide long non-coding RNA. RefSeq lists it as uncharacterized. The record is from RefSeq and is a predicted model, not a curated record. The transcript has 3 exons. Lineage: Eukaryota; Metazoa; Chordata; Mammalia; Artiodactyla; Delphinidae.